UAAAAUUGAUCACUUCUACAUAUUUUUCUCCUUUUCAUCUAACUAACCGUAAUUAACUGAAUAAAUUUCGUUAUGCAGAAUUGUUCUUUGAAUCGUUCUCCCAUCGAUUAUUUAAAAAAUGUACGCGUGACACGAUACGAAUUACUCUACGCUUAAUUCGGUUACGAGUGCUCCAAACUCUCGAAAGGUGAAAAAAUCGCUAAGAACGUUGGUGCUUCCAUCUUUUGAGGAGAUAACGUAACAAAAUGUACAAGUCGCUAACAGUGUUGAUAGUAGGCAAUAGCGGUAGUAGUCGAUAAUGCGAAUACUAUACAUCUGUUGGUAAUGUAAAACUUUCGAUAUACGAAACAAAAGGACACGUUUACGCAAUAAAAGACGAAUGUCUCAAUUAUGGAUCAACGAGCCAAAUCCAGUCAGUUCAACUGGUCUAAGCAGCAGCGUAUGUUGCGCGUAACGGAAUUUGUGUGGCGAGAACAGCGAUUCGUUUACUUAAAAUUUAAAGUGAUCACGGGAUACAGCGACGUGGCGUGUGCAUCGGCACGUAUACCGAAAUGUGUGCUAGUCUAUGUAACAGGGCUGAUUUGCAAGGAAGGAACAAAAUAAUAAAGCGCAAUUGUGCCAGCCCUCGAUUAUUUCAUUGCACGUUGACGUCAAGUUAUACAGCGACCAAUCAUCGAGCUCGCGCAUCGACGAGCCCCCAGUGAAGAUCGACGAACACGCGUACAAUUUCCUCACGAUUUUAAUGAUCAAGUCUCAUAGAAGCUCGAUAUUUGACCUUCCCUCUUUCAAUGACACGCUAGUUAGUCAAAUAAAAUUCAUUGUUUCAAGUAUCUUUUUAUAUUAUAUCGUUUGCUAAUCUGUUGACCGUUUCCGGAUCGAUCGGUAACUUUCUUUUUGAAAAUCGAAUUCGUGAAUCCAUAAGUGGGACUGCGGAUUCAUAUUUUCGAUGCAAAUUCAUAUUUUUAUAUAUACAAAUAAACAGCGGUAUCUAGAUAGAGAUUUAUAUUCUAUUCCUUAUAUAUUAUAAAUAUGCAAUAUAUUAUAUUUUUAUACGUAUGCGUAAAUGUAAAAUAAAAUUAACAACGGCUUAUAAUAUUUAUUUAUAAAACGAGAUGUAUAUCACUAGAAGCAUUCUUCGAACGUGCGUCUUAUUUAACGAUUUCACAAAGAAACUUUAUAUCAAAUUUACGUAUACUUUUACGAUAUUUUAUAUGUUUUCCUGUAUUAUGCAUAUUUUCUGUAUUUCUAUACAUUUCGACUUCCUAUAAAUGUAUAAGUAUACGUUAGUUUACCAAUAACUCGCAAAAUCGUUAACUCAUCUAAUGAAAACAAAUGUAAUCAAUUUGUUUUUCCAAUUAAGUUUUUAUCAUUGUCUAUAAGGAGAAAGUUGCAUUUAAAUAAUGAUGAAAAAAGACGAGAGUAAGCCGGAAUUUAGGCCAGUGACAAAACGAAACGAAGAUAGAGCUGCCAACUUUUACUCGAAUCUCAUCUUCUCGGUCGAGGUUCUCUACUACCUACGCGACUAUCCGACAUUCGACCCAUGACGUUGCAACGUGACGUUGUUCCCGCGCUUCUUGCGUGUUUCGUGCAACAUUCGAAUUAUUGCUGUUUCACGAUUUUGAAAUUUUCAAGCUUAUCGCUCAUUUCUCAGGAUUUUACAAUCUCGAAAGAUCAUACUAAUACUGUUGCGAUAAACAGCGGACUGAAAAUCACACCAAUAUAAGUCAUGAUUUUGAAAAUGUAGAUCUAGUCGCAUAUUUCAACUUUCAAAAGAGUCGUUCUCUUUGUUUCAUAAUUAAUUAAAUAUUAUAAUCAGAAUGCGAAUGUUUAUGCAUUUAUGGGAAAUUAAAAUAUACAAAAAUGUACAAAAUAAUAUAACAGAACCUUUAAAAUGCGUAAAUUCAAUAAGCAGUAGCUUAUUUAAUUGGGUACUGAAACUAAAACUUCAUUGAACCAACUUCAUAUAAACUUCAUAUAACCGCAGUUCGACAAAAAGGCUCUCCCGUAGUCUACGAAAUUAAAGUCUUCUAAUUUUCUAACCGGACAAUCUCCGUAGUAACAGUAACUUGCCAAUUUCUUGGUUCUUUUUUAACUUCUACGAAGAUUUUUUCCUCGAUACUAUCGACUAUACGAAUUGAAGUUGCCGCGACUGAAAUUGCAUCGUCAGUUAGCACACAUCUCAUCGUACGAGAUUGUACAAAGUCUCCUAGCGCUUCUCAUUACGUCACAAGUGUUAAAAUAACCUGCUCAUUGGUAGUAGACGAUCGAACAUUCGUCACGACCAUGGUAUCGCUCAAAUAAAACCACCAUCGAAACACGCGAGAACAGUGAAACCUGCAGACACUCGAUAGUAUGACCUUUUGAACUUGGCAUCGAUACUCCAAUCAUCGUGAUACGUAUACAUACUUACACAUGUGUAAAAGCAAUGCAUGAAUCGAAUAGUGCAAGAUUGGAAUAAGAAAAGUUCGAAGAUCUCCAAAAGGAUUAGGACAUAUUUAGAUUCUUUGUAUAACUACGUCAAAUCUUAGGGGAGAGUCGUAGUUGUUAAUUAAAGAUGCAAAAGGACAAAUGAAAAGAAGGAAGGAGAAGGUGGAGGAAUGAGAGUCGCUGAGGAUCGAGCCCCCUUGGUUGAACCAAUCGCGAGACGUCUCGAAACCAACGCCUACCAAUUCGACCAAUCGGAGAUUAAGACUUCCGAAGGCACGACCGCGCGUAUGUAUCCGCUUUCUCUGGUCGUAGAGGGUCACAAACAUCGUUGAUGAUUGACGGAGCAACGCGUGACCGAAUUAAUUUUACGAUCGUUCCUAUCAUUUCGAUUUAUAUUGGUACAACAUAAAUGCAUUCUAUCACGUGAUGUGUGCGCUUGCUUUGAUCAAUUAAUUCGUCUGCUGUCAUAAUUGAACACGUUGAAAAUGAGAAGCUGUGAAUCUUUCCCAUACGACAGUUCACAAUACUACAAUAUGAAAUCUAAUAAUACCAUUAGGUCGACCCUCUAACUUACUUUGAAAUCAAUUCUGGCAACUUCUCAAUUGUGACAUUGCCAUACCAUUGCCAUACCAACAUUACUUAAGAUAAUAUUCAUUGAAUCAUUAAGCGGAUAUUGUUUGGACGGUCUCGUUAAUUUCAUCGCAAAAAAAUUGUAAUUUGUAAAAAAAAAUAGCAUUCCGACACGUCCCUACGUUCAUCGAAAGAGUAUCGCUUUUCUUUUUUUUUCUUGUUUUUGUUUUUUAUUAUCUAUUCGAUAAGUUGCAAGACUGCCGAAACGUUCCAAUGUAAUCAUGUCAGUAAACAUUAGCGUAAAAUGCGAAAUACCAAAUUCAAGGCUAUUUUUCCUUCUUAUUUUCUGUGCAAAAGUUGUACAACAUAUACGAGUAUGUGCGUGUUAGCACCGAUUGGUCUAACAACUAUAAUCACGUGUAAAAUGUUCUUUGUCUGAAUACUUGCAUGUACGUAUAAAAAUUCAAUCUUCCGAACUACACUCAAACUUGCAAAAAUUUACGUUCUAUUAAAGAUAAGAAAAACACAUUAUGUAAGACGUUCUAAAAAAAAAAUUGAAUUUCCGUCCAAUAGGAAUCGAGUUAGCGGUGGCGAACGUCAGAACACGUGUUUUUGAAUGAUAUCGAGAAACAGUCGAAACGCGAUAGAUCGAUAAAAUUGUGUUUCUUUUGAACAGGAGGCGAACGUACCUUUGUCCAUACUAUCGGUGAGCCAGAUGGAAGAAAGAGGAAAAAUUAGCACGUAACAAAC
This is a long non-coding RNA of Bombus huntii, 3747 nucleotides long. RefSeq lists it as uncharacterized. The transcript is spliced from 2 exons. NCBI's taxonomy places the organism in Eukaryota, Metazoa, Arthropoda, Insecta, Hymenoptera, Apidae. The record is from RefSeq and is a predicted model, not a curated record.